UACGAAGGGGGCUAGCGUUGUUCGGAAUUACUGGGCGUAAAGCGUGCGCAGGCGGUUGUGCAAGACAGAUGUGAAAUCCCCGGGCUCAACCUGGGAAUUGCAUUUGUGACUGCACGGCUAGAGUGUGUCAGAGGGGGUAGAAUUCCACGUGUGAGCAGUGAAAUGCGUAGAGAUGUGGAGGAAUACCGAUGGCGAAGGCAGCCCCCUGGGAUAACACUGACGCUCAUGCACGAAAGCGUGGGGAGCAAACAGG
Molecule: ribosomal RNA, 253 nt
Filed under: uncultured bacterium
Lineage: Bacteria
Description: partial 16S ribosomal RNA
Rfam family: Bacterial small subunit ribosomal RNA
Source: RNAcentral